GCCUCGGGGCAGCAGUUCUGGUGAAGGGGAAAGGAGAAGCCCCAGAAAGCUUCAUGGUCACGCCACGUAUGGGAUGCUCGGCAGCUGCCCUGGCUGGGAUCUAACAACAGGAAGCCAGCGGACCUCACGGGGCCAUUCCCAGGCUUAGAUUGAAGGGAAUCUAAGUUCGGGAAAACAAUUGGUACAGGAUGUGCAGCUUGAAGAAGCUGAGGGGAUGAGUAUACUAAAUAUGCCACACUGUCUGCACCAUGCCAGAUUUGCUAUCUGCAAUUGCACAUCUGCCAGUGACCUCUGUCUGUUACUGAAGAAGGCUGCUGGCUUCUUUGCUGUAUAUCCUGAUCACGCUGACUUCCUUCUGCAACUUCUAGAUAAGUAAAUUUUUUUGAUUUAUCAGGAAGUGUCUUUGGUCUCUCAGUCAAUUCGAUUCUACUACUGACAUUUAUCAACAUGGUACUCUACACAUGUGUCAACAAUUU
This 476-nucleotide long non-coding RNA is filed under the name Homo sapiens (human). RNAcentral describes it as "HSALNT0337113". Lineage: Eukaryota; Metazoa; Chordata; Mammalia; Primates; Hominidae. The record is from RNAcentral.